RNAcentral lists this ribosomal RNA (465 nucleotides) under Vreelandella stevensii. Its description in RNAcentral is "partial 16S ribosomal RNA". It matches the Rfam family "Bacterial small subunit ribosomal RNA", at positions 338 to 795 of the family's 1533-position model. Lineage: Bacteria; Pseudomonadati; Pseudomonadota; Gammaproteobacteria; Oceanospirillales; Halomonadaceae. The record is from RNAcentral.
CCUACGGGUGGCUGCAGUGGGGAAUAUUGGACAAUGGGCGAAAGCCUGAUCCAGCCAUGCCGCGUGUGUGAAGAAGGCCUUCGGGUUGUAAAGCACUUUCAGUGGGGAAGAAAGCCUUGGGGCUAAUACCCUCGAGGAAGGACAUCACCCACAGAAGAAGCACCGGCUAACUCCGUGCCAGCAGCCGCGGUAAUACGGAGGGUGCGAGCGUUAAUCGGAAUUACUGGGCGUAAAGCGCGCGUAGGCGGUCUGAUAAGCCGGUUGUGAAAGCCCCGGGCUCAACCUGGGAACGGCAUCCGGAACUGAGAGGCUAGAGUAGGGGAGAGGGUGGUGGAAUUCCCGGGGUAGCGGUGAAAUGCGUAGAGAGAGGGAGGAAAACCAGUGGAGAAGGCGGCUUCCUGGACUACCACUGACGCUGAGGUGCGAAAGCGUGGGAAGCAAACAGGAUUAGAUACCCCGGUAGUC